GCGCCAGACUCCUACGGGAGGCAGCAGUGGGGAAUAUUGCACAAUGGGGGAAACCCUGAUGCAGCGACGCCGCGUGAAGGAUGAAGUAUUUCGGUAUGUAAACUUCUAUCAGCAGGGAAGAAAAUGACGGUACCUGACUAAGAAGCCCCGGCUAACUACGUGCCAGCAGCCGCGGUAAUACGUAUGGUGCAAGCGUUAUCCGGAUUUACUGGGUGUAAAGGGAGCGCAGGCGGCGCGUUAAGCCUGGUGUGAAAGCCCGCGGCCCAACCGCGGGACUGCAUUGGGAACUGGCGCGCUGGAGUGCCGGAGGGGUAGGCGGAAUUCCUAGUGUAGCGGUGAAAUGCGUAGAUAUCAGGAGGAACACCGGUGGCGAGGGCGGCCUGCUGGACUGCGACUGACGUUGAGGCCCGAAAGCGUGGGGAGCAAACAGGAUUAGAUACCCCGGUA
Molecule: ribosomal RNA, 447 nt
Filed under: uncultured bacterium
Lineage: Bacteria
Description: bacterial SSU rRNA
Rfam family: Bacterial small subunit ribosomal RNA
Source: RNAcentral